Molecule: ribosomal RNA, 742 nt
Filed under: uncultured bacterium
Lineage: Bacteria
Description: bacterial SSU rRNA
Rfam family: Bacterial small subunit ribosomal RNA
Source: RNAcentral
CUUACACAUGCAGUUGAACGGCAGCGCGGGUAGUAAUACCUGGCGGCGAGUGGCAAACGGGUGCGGAACACGUACGCAACAUACCCUUGUCUGGGGCAUAGCCUUCUGAAAAGGAGAUUAACACCCCAUAAGAUAAUAGAGUGGCAUCACUUAGUUAUUAAAAAUUUAUUGGACAGGGAUUGGCGUGCGUCCUAUUAGCUAGUUGGUAGGGUAACGGCCUACCAAGGCGACGAUGGUAGCUGGUGUGAGAGCACGACCAGCCACACGGGCACUGAGACACGGGCCCGACUCCUACGGGAGGCAGCAGUGAGGAAUAUUGGUCAAUGGACGCAAGUCUGAACCAGCCAUGCCGCGUGAAGGAUGAAGGCGUUCUGCGUUGUAAACUUCUUUUACCAGGGAAGAAACCUUCUUUUUCUAAGGAAGCCGACGGUACCUGAGGAAUAAGCACCGGCUAACUCCGUGCCAGCAGCCGCGGUAAUACGGAGGGUGCAAGCGUUAUCCGGAUUUACUGGGUUUAAAGGGUGUGUAGGCGGAUUAUUAAGUCAGCGGUGAAAUCUCCGGGCUCAACCCGGAAACUGCCAUUGAUACUAUUAGUCUUGAAUAUUGUUGAGGUGGGCGGAACGGGUCAUGUAGCGGUGAAAUGCAUAGAUUGACCCGGAACACCGAUUGCGAAGGCAGCCCACUAAGCAAUGAUUGACGCUGAGGCACGAAAGCGUGGGGAUCAAACCAGGAUUAGAUACCC